This is a long non-coding RNA of Antechinus flavipes (yellow-footed antechinus), 1080 nucleotides long. RefSeq lists it as uncharacterized. The record is from RefSeq and is a predicted model, not a curated record. NCBI's taxonomy places the organism in Eukaryota, Metazoa, Chordata, Mammalia, Dasyuromorphia, Dasyuridae. The transcript is spliced from 4 exons.
UCUUUUUUUAAAAAGCUUUUUAGUGUCAACAUUGACCCUUGCAUAGCCUUGUGUUUCAGAUUGCCCUCUCCCCUAGAUGGCAAGCAAUCCAAGAUAGCUUAUUUGUACAUGUUUAAGCCAAUAUAUGUAAACGUAUUUAUACAAUUCUCUUGCUCCACAAGAAAAAUCAGAUCAAAAAGAAAACAAAAAGCAAGCGAACGACAACAAAAAGAGGGAGAAAGUUAUAUUGUGGCCCAUGCUCAGUUCCCUCCCUGGCUGUAGAUGCCUCUCUAUGACAAGAUCAUUGGAACUGGCCUGAAUCAUCUUAUUGUUGGAAAGAGUGACGUUCCUCAGAAUCGGUCAUCAUAUAAUAUCGAUGUUGCCGUGUACGAUGAUCUCCUGGUCCUGCUCGUGUCACUCAGCAUCAGUUCAUAUAGGUUUACUUCAUUCUUGGAUGGACGGGAGUUCCACGAAUCUCCAGUUCUGACACUACAGAAAAGAGCCGCUACAGAUAUCUUCGUACAGAUGAAGUUUUUGCCUCUCUUCGGAGUAGAAGCCUACAAAUGCCAUCACGAAACGACAGCGUGAUUCCAAAGUGCUUUUCCGGAUGCACUUAUUUCUCUAGCUGUGUCGGUGUGAAACCAUGAAUUGGGUGGAUUACUGCAGGAGGUCUAGGAAAGCCAAGUAAGUCUGGGUGAUCCAGGACAGGUGAAAACAUCGAUGGACUCCACAUUAUAGUGAAGCAUCAUGGAGUGAAGUCAUCUCACCACCCCAUCUAUCCUGUCCAUCUGUCCCUCUAUUCAUCCAUCUCUCUCUCCCCAUCUCCACGUGUCUCUGUCCUGUCUGUCUCUCCAGCUCACUCUCCCAUGCCUCUAUCCUGUUCUGGGUCUAUUUUCUAUCAUGUAUCUAUCCCUCUAUCCCAUCCCUCUGUUCAUUUAUCUCUCUCUGCCUGCCUGUCAACUCAUCCAUCUCUUCAUUUGUCUUUAUCCAUAUCCCCGCCUCCAUCAUCUCUUCAUUUCUCUAGCCUGUCUCUGUCCCUCUAUCUCUAUUCUGUCCCGUCUGCUCCCUCUCUCUCACACUCACACAGUCCUUACCAAGCAU